This 207-nucleotide ribosomal RNA is filed under the name uncultured bacterium. Its description in RNAcentral is "partial 16S ribosomal RNA". It matches the Rfam family "Bacterial small subunit ribosomal RNA", at positions 1003 to 1211 of the family's 1533-position model. The record is from RNAcentral.
GAAACAUGGACUUCCCGCAAGGGACUGGAGUCGAGGUGCUGCAUGGCUGUCGUCAGCUCGUGUCGUGAGAUGUUGGGUUAAGUCCCGCAACGAGCGCAACCCUUGUCCUGUGUUGCCACCCCGCAAGGGAGCACUCUCAGGAGACCGCCAGCGAUAAGCUGGAGGAAGGUGGGGAUGACGUCAAGUCCUCAUGGCCUUUAUGUCCAG